UUUCCGUGCCAACGUUUGACUGUCCGUGCAAACGUUUGACUGUCUGUCUUAUAUAAAUUUUUUUUAUAAUUAGUAUUUUCAUUAUUGUUAGAUGAUAAAACAUGAUUAAUACUUUAUGCGUGACUUAUCUUUUUAUUUUUUUCAUAUUUUUUUCAAAUAAGAUGGACGGUCUAACGUUGGACACGGAAACCAGGGUUUGCCUUUUUU
This is a non-coding RNA of Oryza glumipatula, 207 nucleotides long. Lineage: Eukaryota; Viridiplantae; Streptophyta; Magnoliopsida; Poales; Poaceae. The record is from Rfam.